GACAGAGGUGCCGAGCGUUAGGCGGAAUCACUGGGCUUAAAGCGUGUGUAGGCGGGCCGUUAAGUACCUUGUGAAAUCCCCCGGCUCAACCGGGGAACUGCUGGGUAUACUGGCGCCUUGAGCGGCCUGAGGGGCAGAGUGGAACAGAACGGUGGAGCGGUGAAAUGCGUAGAUAUCGGUCUGGAACGCCAAAGGUGAAAACAGUCUGCUGGGGGCUUGCUGACGCGUGAGACACGAAAGCCAGGGGAGCGAACGGG
RNAcentral lists this ribosomal RNA (257 nucleotides) under uncultured bacterium. RNAcentral's name for it is "partial 16S ribosomal RNA". It matches the Rfam family "Bacterial small subunit ribosomal RNA", at positions 524 to 776 of the family's 1533-position model. The record is from RNAcentral.